UGGGUGGUAAACUCCAUCCAAGGCUAAAUACUAACACGAGUCCGAUAGCAAACAAGUACCGUGAGGGAAAGUUGAAAAGUACUUUGAAGAGAGAGUAAACAGUGCGUGAAACCGCUCAGAGGUAAACAGGUGGAGUUGAACUGUGAUCUCUGUGGAUUUAGCUGGUGAGAAUGGCUUGAGCUUGGUCAAAUAUGUUGAGACCGGGAAUCUGCAUAACAGCAGGUCCUUGCCUUUUGGUGAGGAUGCGCGAGGCACUCAACAGGUGUUGCGCGUUCCAUGUUUUUCGUGCUAACUUGCCAGUGCAUUUUCGCAGAGUGGUCACCACGACCGGCAUCGCUGUCUUGUUGUUGCGGUUAAACCGGCCUUUCAUUGUCCCUGUGGCUUUGGAUUGUCGGGAUGGCAGGUAGCUCGUUGGCUAGGCUUGUGGCUUGCUGCAGGCUUCCGGCUCUCGGGUGUAAUCAGCUGACCGCAUCGGUAUUGUGCAGUAUGUCGGAGACGGCGGCUUGUGGUGUGUGCGUGCGUGCCAGUUGGCUAACGUGUCCGGGUUUGGUUAUUAUGUAGCCUGUGUUGGCAGGCCUAGUGAUAGCCCGGGUUCGUUCGGUCGGCGGUUGCGUGCGUGUCACUAUCCAGGGCCAAUAGU
This 640-nucleotide ribosomal RNA is filed under the name Acanthostomum burminis. RNAcentral describes it as "eukaryotic LSU rRNA". It matches the Rfam family "Eukaryotic large subunit ribosomal RNA", at positions 293 to 611 of the family's 3401-position model. Lineage: Eukaryota; Metazoa; Platyhelminthes; Trematoda; Opisthorchiida; Cryptogonimidae. The record is from RNAcentral.